AUUUCCGAAUGGGGAAACCCACCGCGCAAGCGGUAUCCCACACUGAAUCCAUAGGUGUGGGAAGCGAACCCGGCGAACUGAAACAUCUAAGUAGCCGGAGGAAAGGACAUCAACCGAGACUCCGCUAGUAGUGGCGAGCGAACGCGGACCAGGCCAGUCAUUCGAUCUACAUAACCGGAACCGUCUGGAAAGUCGGGCCAUAGCGGGUGAUAGCCCCGUACGGAUAAACCGGAUCGGAUGCUCGAGUAGGGCGGGGCACGUGAAACCCUGUCUGAACAUGGGGGGACCACCCUCCAAGCCUAAGUACUCCUCAGUGACCGAUAGCGAACAAGUACCGUGAGGGAAAGGUGAAAAGCACCCCGACAAGGGGAGUGAAACAGAACCUGAAAUCGGAAGCCUACAAGCAGUCGGAGCCACCGCGCGUGGUGACGGCGUACCUUUUGUAUAAUGGGUCAGCGACUUCAUGUGCCGUGCAAGCUUAAGCCGUUAGGUGUAGGCGCAGCGAAAGCGAGUCUGAAUAGGGCGAAUAAGUACGUCGCAUGACGACCCGAAACCAGGUGAUCUAUCCAUGAGCAGGUUGAAGGUAAGGUAACACUUACUGGAGGACCGAACCGGUGAAUGUUGAAAAAUUCUCGGAUGGCUGUACCAAUUCUAAUCAAACUCCGAAUACCCAAGAGAACUAUCCGGGAGACACACGGCGGGUGCUAACGUCCGUCGUGAAAAGGGAAACAACCCUAACCAUCAUCUAAGGCCCCCAAGUACUGGCUAAGUGGGAAACGAUGUGGGUUUGCUUUGACAACCAGGAUGUUGGCUUAGAAGCAGCCAUCAUUUAAAGAAAGCGUAACAGCUCACUGGUCAAGCGAACCUGCGCGGAAAAUGUAACGGGGCUCAAGCCAGUCGCCGAAGGUAUGGGUGUGCGUAAGCACGCGGUAGCGGAGCGUUCCGUAAGCCGAUGAAGGUGAGGCGCGAGCCUUGCUGGAGGUAUCGGAAGUGAGAAUGCUGACAUGAGUAGCGAUAAAGAGGGUGAGAGACCCUCUCGCCGAAAGCCCAAGGGUUCCUGCGUAAAGCUAAUCUGCGCAGGGUUAGUCGGCCCCUAAGGCGAGGCCGAAAGGCGUAGUCGAUGGGAAUCAGGUGAAUAUUCCUGAACCAGUUGGAAGUGACGGAUCUGGUAAAUUGUCAGGGCUUAUUGGAUUGUCCUGGCAGUGAACAGGUCCCUGGAAAUAACUCCAACGGAGACCGUACCCGAAACCGACACAGGUGGGCAGGUAGAGUAUACCAAGGCGCUUGAGAGAACUAUGCUGAAGGAACUCGGCAAAUUGCACGCGUAACUUCGGGAUAAGCGUGACUCUCUUUUGGGCAACCAGAUGAGAGUGGCACAAGCCAGGGGGUAGCGACUGUUUAUCAAAAACACAGGGCUCUGCGAAGCCGCAAGGCGACGUAUAGGGUCUGACGCCUGCCCGGUGCCUGAAGGUUAAAAGGAGGGGUGCAAGCUCUGAAUUGAAGCCCAAGUAAACGGCGGCCGUAACAAUAACGGUCCUAAGGUAGCGAAAUUCCUUGUCGGGUAAGUUCCGACCUGCACGAAUGGCGUAA
RNAcentral lists this ribosomal RNA (1590 nucleotides) under Camelina sativa (false flax). RNAcentral describes it as "bacterial LSU rRNA". It matches the Rfam family "Bacterial large subunit ribosomal RNA", at positions 110 to 2004 of the family's 2925-position model. Lineage: Eukaryota; Viridiplantae; Streptophyta; Magnoliopsida; Brassicales; Brassicaceae. The record is from RNAcentral.